AGCCAGCAUUGCACAACUCUUAUGUAAACAAAGCUGUACAUUAAAGUUCUUCCUGUCUUUGAGCAUUUUUGGUGUCGGGUUGAGUCUCACUGGGCUCUGUAGGAAAUAUUGUAUGUUUUCCAUAACAAAGCAAAUUAAAUGUUGGUGUUAGCUCAUUGGUAUCGGGUACAGUGUUCCGUAGGCUCAAUUUUCUUCAAUUCCCCCCCAAUGUUGAAUGUCGACAUAACAUUAUCUUUCUAUCACAUGCCAG
RNAcentral lists this unclassified non-coding RNA (250 nucleotides) under Hevea brasiliensis (rubber tree). Lineage: Eukaryota; Viridiplantae; Streptophyta; Magnoliopsida; Malpighiales; Euphorbiaceae. The record is from RNAcentral.